UACGGAGGGUGCGAGCGUUGUCCGGAAUCACUGGGCGUAAAGGGCGCGUAGGUGGCUCGUGAAGCGUGCGGUGAAAGUCCGAGGCUCAACCUCGGAUCGGCCGUGCGGACUCGCGGGCUCGAGCGUUGUAGAGGCGGGUGGAAUUCCGGGUGUAGCGGUGGAAUGCGUAGAGAUCCGGAAGAACACCGGUGGCGAAGGCGACUCGCUGGACAAGUAUUGACGCUGAGGUGCGAAAGCGUGGGGAGCAAACAGG
This 253-nucleotide ribosomal RNA is filed under the name uncultured bacterium. Its description in RNAcentral is "partial 16S ribosomal RNA". It matches the Rfam family "Bacterial small subunit ribosomal RNA", at positions 524 to 776 of the family's 1533-position model. The record is from RNAcentral.